This 201-nucleotide unclassified non-coding RNA is filed under the name fungal sp. RNAcentral describes it as "partial internal transcribed spacer region". The stretch from base 1 to 46 matches the Rfam family "Eukaryotic small subunit ribosomal RNA", at positions 1786 to 1831 of the family's 1831-position model. The record is from RNAcentral. Lineage: Eukaryota; Fungi.
AAGUCGUAACAAGGUUUCCGUAGGUGAACCUGCGGAAGGAUCAUUAACACGUAUCCAAACGUUAAACCCGUGAACUUUCAGUCCUGCUCUUGUAUAAGCAGCAAUCUCGGUAAAUCAAGUGGGAGGAAAGUUCUGAUUCGCUGAUGAAAGUCCGAGGCAAAAAAAACCGAACAACUGUUAACAAUGGAUAUCUUGGUUCUC